This 1537-nucleotide ribosomal RNA is filed under the name bacterium endosymbiont of Onthophagus Taurus. RNAcentral's name for it is "partial 16S ribosomal RNA". It matches the Rfam family "Bacterial small subunit ribosomal RNA". The record is from RNAcentral.
CCUCAAUUCGAGCUCAGUUUCAGCAGAUAGUUUGAUCAUGGCUCAGAUUGAACGCUGGCGGCAUGCUUUACACAUGCAAGUCGAACGGCAGCGGGGACUUCGGUCCGCCGGCGAGUGGCGAACGGGUGAGUAAUAUAUCGGAACGUGCCUGGUAGUGGGGGAUAGCUUGGCGAAAGCCAAAUUAAUACCGCAUAAGACCUACGGGGGAAAGCAGGGGAUCUUAGGACCUUGCGCUAUCAGAGCGGCCGAUAUCAGAUUAGGUAGUUGGUGGGGUAAAAGCCUACCAAGCCGACGAUCUGUAGCUGGUUUGAGAGGAUGAUCAGCCACACUGGGACUGAGACACGGCCCAGACUCCUACGGGAGGCAGCAGUGGGGAAUUUUGGACAAUGGGGGCAACCCUGAUCCAGCCAUGCCGCGUGCAGGAAGAAGGCCUUCGGGUUGUAAACUGCUUUUGUCAGGGAAGAAAAGCGAAGGGAUAAUACCCCUUUGUGCUGACGGUACCUGAAGAAUAAGCACCGGCUAACUACGUGCCAGCAGCCGCGGUAAUACGUAGGGUGCGAGCGUUAAUCGGAAUUACUGGGCGUAAAGCGUGCGCAGGCGGUCUUGUAAGACUGAUGUGAAAUCCCCGGGCUUAACCUGGGAAUGGCAUUGGUAACUGCAAGACUUGAGUGUGGCAGAAGGGGGUAGAAUUUUGCGUGUAGCAGUGAAAUGCGUAGAUAUGCAAAGGAUUACCGAUGGCGAAGGCAGCCCCCUGGGCCUGCACUGACGCUCAUGCACGAAAGCGUGGGGAGCAAACAGGAUUAGAUACCCUGGUAGUCCACGCCCUAAACGAUGUCAACUAGUUGUUGGGAAUAUAAUUCUCAGUAACGAAGCUAACGCGUGAAGUUGACCGCCUGGGGAGUACGGCCGCAAGGUUAAAACUCAAAGGAAUUGACGGGGACCCGCACAAGCGGUGGAUGAUGUGGUUUAAUUCGAUGCAACGCGAAAAACCUUACCUACCCUUGACAUGUCAGGAAUUGUGUAGAGAUAUACAAGUGCUCGCAAGAGAACCUGAACACAGGUGCUGCAUGGCUGUCGUCAGCUCGUGUCGUGAGAUGUUGGGUUAAGUCCCACAACGAGCGCAACCCUUGUCAUUAGUUGCCAUCAUUUAGUUGGGCACUCUAAUGAGACUGCCGGUGACAAACCGGAGGAAGGUGGGGAUGACGUCAUGUCCUCAUGGCCCUUAUGGGUAGGGCUACACACGUCAUACAAUGGCUGGUACAAAGGGCAGCGAAGCCGCGAGGUGGAGCAAAUCCUAUAAAGCCAGUCGUAGUCCGGAUUGCACUCUGCAACUCGAGUGCAUGAAGUCAGAAUCGCUAGUAAUCGUGGAUCAGCAUGUCACGGUGAAUACGUUCCCGGGUCUUGUACACACCGCCCGUCACACCAUGGGAGCGGGUUUUGCCAGAAGUAGUUAGCCUAACCGCAAGGAGGGCGAUUACCACGGCAGGGUUCGUGACUGGGGGAAGUCGAACAUCUUCUGAAUUCUCAUUCGGGAAGG